CCAGGAGUCCAGGAUUUCUGAGUUCAUGUCCAGGUUGCUCUCUUUCUGAGGAAUAGUAAAGACUUCAUCGGGGAUGAUGUACUGUCCAUCUUCUGUGGUCUUACAGUUGGUGAGCUUGUCUUCUUCAGCACAUGCUACUGUGGUCCAGAUGAGGGCUGUGACAAUGAAGCUGUUCAUGGUGAAGAUAGCCCCAGUCACACACUAGUCCUGGACAUCCACCAGAGAGCCUGGGGCAAACUGAAAGACAGAAAGAAAGCAAUUGCUUAAACAGUAGUCGCUUGAAAUUUUAACAAUUCUCCUGAAACCGUACAGGGUAUUUCUACCUCGUGGACAAGCCUUAGAUUUCUCAUUGGCUUACUGAGACUGGAGGCUGUCCUCUCAGAAGAAAGGGGGGAGAGUAGCGUGCACGCACGUUUUGUGAUGUCUCAUCGCUACAAGCCCUCCUGUUUUGGUGUGUGUAUGAUGUUAUCUGGGGCUGAGAUAAAGAAUGAAGACAAUUCUGUUUGCAGUAUCCUGGGACACUUCAGUCUGACUUGCCCUAAGCAUUUCAUGCAUGGCUGGCUGGAAGUGGAAUACUCUCCCUCCUACAUUCAUCUGGAGACAGACAAGCAAUUUCUCAUUCUUUGUUGCUCACUCUUUUGAAAGAAGAAUCGCAGCGAGGUCAAUGUAGGCAGUUCUAAAUCUAGAUGUUUCUAAACACUUAAUGUCUGCCUUUUUUUUUUGCUACAGUCUUCCUUCUCAAUUUUGGCAUAGGAAGUGAAAAUUAAUAUAGCCAUGGAAUUCAUCAAGGGUUAUAUAGCAAAAUGUUUUAGUAGGACAAGGACAAGAGAAGUCAAGGAGAAGUGAAUAUAAUCAAAAUAUAUUAUGCACGAAGACGCCAAGAUGAAUCCCAUUAUGGAUAAUUGAUACAUGCUAGUAAAAUAGUUAAAUUUUAGAAAAAUAAAUACAAAAAUUUAAUUUUUUAAAUUCAUUUUACAUACCAACCACAGUUCCUCCUCCCUCCCCUCUUCCUGCUCCUCCCCAUCUUCCCUC
This is a long non-coding RNA of Alexandromys fortis (reed vole), 1032 nucleotides long. RefSeq lists it as uncharacterized. The transcript has 4 exons. Lineage: Eukaryota; Metazoa; Chordata; Mammalia; Rodentia; Cricetidae. The record is from RefSeq and is a predicted model, not a curated record.